UCAGAGGAGCUGGGGCCGGC
RNAcentral lists this unclassified non-coding RNA (20 nucleotides) under Chlamydomonas reinhardtii. Its description in RNAcentral is "small RNA Cre_2483". The record is from RNAcentral. Lineage: Eukaryota; Viridiplantae; Chlorophyta; Chlorophyceae; Chlamydomonadales; Chlamydomonadaceae.